Myotis davidii is the source of this 125-nucleotide non-coding RNA. NCBI's taxonomy places the organism in Eukaryota, Metazoa, Chordata, Mammalia, Chiroptera, Vespertilionidae. The record is from Rfam.
CGUGCACUGGUGGGGUCCCUCGGCCUGGCCUGCGGGGAUCACCGAAACCGGCUUUCUGACAUCGCCCAAGGGGUCCAGGAUUGCUAAAGGGUGCAGGCCAGGCCAAGGGACCCCACCGGUGCAUG